This 1372-nucleotide ribosomal RNA is filed under the name uncultured bacterium. Its description in RNAcentral is "bacterial SSU rRNA". It matches the Rfam family "Bacterial small subunit ribosomal RNA", at positions 28 to 1381 of the family's 1533-position model. The record is from RNAcentral.
GAUGAACGCUGGCGGCGUGCCUAAUACAUGCAAGUCGAGCGAACGGACGAGAAGCUUGCUUCUCUGAUGUUAGCGGCGGACGGGUGAGUAACACGUGGAUAACCUACCUAUAAGACUGGGAUAACUUCGGGAAACCGGAGCUAAUACCGGAUAAUAUUUUGAACCGCAUGGUUCAAAAGUGAAAGACGGUCUUGCUGUCACUUAUAGAUGGAUCCGCGCUGCAUUAGCUAGUUGGUAAGGUAACGGCUUACCAAGGCAACGAUGCAUAGCCGACCUGAGAGGGUGAUCGGCCACACUGGAACUGAGACACGGUCCAGACUCCUACGGGAGGCAGCAGUAGGGAAUCUUCCGCAAUGGGCGAAGGCCUGACGGAGCAACGCCGCGUGAGUGAUGAAGGUCUUCGGAUCGUAAAACUCUGUUAUUAGGGAAGAACAUAUGUGUAAGUAACUGUGCACAUCUUGACGGUACCUAAUCAGAAAGCCACGGCUAACUACGUGCCAGCAGCCGCGGUAAUACGUAGGUGGCAAGCGUUAUCCGGAAUUAUUGGGCGUAAAGCGCGCGUAGGCGGUUUUUUAAGUCUGAUGUGAAAGCCCACGGCUCAACCGUGGAGGGUCAUUGGAAACUGGAAAACUUGAGUGCAGAAGAGGAAAGUGGAAUUCCAUGUGUAGCGGUGAAAUGCGCAGAGAUAUGGAGGAACACCAGUGGCGAAGGCGACUUUCUGGUCUGUAACUGACGCUGAUGUGCGAAAGCGUGGGGAUCAAACAGGAUUAGAUACCCUGGUAGUCCACGCCGUAAACGAUGAGUGCUAAGUGUUAGGGGGUUUCCGCCCCUUAGUGCUGCAGCUAACGCAUUAAGCACUCCGCCUGGGGAGUACGACCGCAAGGUUGAAACUCAAAGGAAUUGACGGGGACCCGCACAAGCGGUGGAGCAUGUGGUUUAAUUCGAAGCAACGCGAAGAGCCUUACCAAAUCUUGACAUCCUUUGACAACUCUAGAGAUAGAGCCUUCCCCUUCGGGGGACAAAGUGACAGGUGGUGCAUGGUUGUCGUCAGCUCGUGUCGUGAGAUGUUGGGUUAAGUCCCGCAACGAGCGCAACCCUUAAGCUUAGUUGCCAUCAUUAAGUUGGGCACUCUAAGUUGACUGCCGGUGACAAACCGGAGGAAGGUGGGGAUGACGUCAAAUCAUCAUGCCCCUUAUGAUUUGGGCUACACACGUGCUACAAUGGACAAUACAAAGGGCAGCGAAACCGCGAGGUCAAGCAAAUCCCAUAAAGUUGUUCUCAGUUCGGAUUGUAGUCUGCAACUCGACUACAUGAAGCUGGAAUCGCUAGUAAUCGUAGAUCAGCAUGCUACGGUGAAUACGUUCCCGGGUCU